GAAACACACAACGCAUCCCUUACACACACAUGCAAACACACACUGCUUCUCUUACACACACACACACAGAAACACAAUGCAUCUCUUACACACACUCAACGCACCCCUUACAGACACACACACUGCAUCCCUUACAUACACAGAAACACACUUUGCAUCCCUUAUGCAUACAAAACACAGAUUCACACAAUGCAUCCCUUACACACAACAAGAAACACACAAUACAUCCCUUACACAAACACUCACUGCUUUCUAUCCCUUACACAAAAACACACUGCUUCCACUACACACAAACACACUGCAUCACCUACACAAACUGGUAUCCCUAUACACUACAUUCCAUAAGCACACAC
This is a non-coding RNA of Pelobates cultripes (western spadefoot toad), 353 nucleotides long. The record is from the annotation of a GenBank genome assembly. NCBI's taxonomy places the organism in Eukaryota, Metazoa, Chordata, Amphibia, Anura, Pelobatidae.